UUGAAACAACAAAUAGUCUUUUGGAUUUAUUGUGUUACUUUGGUGACCAGGAGCCCUCAACUGAUUAUCAUUUUCAACAAACUGAACAGUCAGAAGCAUUGGAAGUGGAAAAUGAUGAGACAUCUAGGAGGAAAGCUGGUCAUCAGUUUGGAGUUACAUGGCAAGCAAAAAACAAUGCUGAGAGAAUCUUUUCUCUAAUGCCAGAGAAAAAUGCACAUUCCUAUUGCACAAUGAUCCGAGGAAUGGUGAAGCACCGAGCUUAUGAGCAGGCGUUAAACUUGUACACUGAGUUACUAAACAACAGACUCCAUGGAGCUGCUAAGACACAUGGUUGCUCAGAAGGUGAAACCAAAUCUGCAGACUUUUAAUACCAUUCUGAAAUGUCUCCGAAGAUUUCAUGUGUUUGCAAGAUCUCCGGCCUUACAGAUUUUACGUGAAAUGAAAGCCAUUGGAAUAGGUGAGGAUGCACCCUUGAGUCCUCUGAGGACAGAGACUGUGCCAGCCAGAGGUUUCAGGGCUACAUAAGCAAAGAGCUUUAAAUUAUUCUUCUGCUUACAUAAUAUGUUGGAAAUUUUCUUUCCACGUUUGG
This 589-nucleotide small RNA is filed under the name Pongo abelii (Sumatran orangutan). Its description in RNAcentral is "retained intron". Lineage: Eukaryota; Metazoa; Chordata; Mammalia; Primates; Hominidae. The record is from RNAcentral.